GGGAANCUGCCNNAUGNAGGGGGAUNNCUACUGGAAACGGUAGCUNANUACCGCAUAACGUCGCAAGACCAAAAGNGGGGGACCUUCGNGCCCUCAUGCCAUCAGAUGUGCCCAGAUGGGAUUAGCUAGUANNUGGGGUAACGGCUCACCUAGGCGACGAUCNCUAGCUGGUCUGAGAGGAUGANCAGCCACACUGGAACUGAGACACGGUCCAGACUCCUACGGGAGGCAGCAGUGGGGAAUAUUGCACAAUGGGCGCAAGCCUGAUGCAGCCAUGCCGCGUGUGUGAAGAAGGCCUUCGGGUUGUAAAGCACUUUCAGCGGGGAGGAAGGCGAUAAGGUUAAUAACCUUGUCGAUUGACGUUACCCGCAGAAGAAGCACCGGCUAACUCCGUGCCAGCAGCCGCGGUAAUACGGAGGGUGCAAGCGUUAAUCGGAAUUACUGGGCGUAAAGCGCACGCAGGCGGUCUGUCAAGUCGGAUGUGAAAUCCCCGGGCUCAACCUGGGAACUGCAUUCGAAACUGGCAGGCUAGAGUCUUGUAGAGGGGGGUAGAAUUCCAGGUGUAGCGGUGAAAUGCGUAGAGAUCUGGAGGAAUACCGGUGGCGAAGGCGGCCCCCUGGACAAAGACUGACGCUCAGGUGCGAAAGCGUGGGGAGCAAACNAGGAUUAGAUACCCUGGUAGUCCACGCCGUAAACGAUGUCGAUUUGGAGGUUGUGCCCUUGAGGCGUGGCUUCCGGAGCUAACGCGUUAAAUCGACCGCCUGGGGAGUACGGCCGCAAGGUUAAAACUCAAAUGAAUUGACGGGGGCCCGCACAAGCGGUGGAGCAUGUGGUUUAAUUCGAUGCAACGCGAAGAACCUUACCUGGUCUUGACAUCCACAGAACUUNCCAGAGAUGNNUUGGUGCCUUCGGGAACUGUGANACAGGUGCUGCNUGGCUGUCNUCAGCUCNUGUUGUGANANGUUNGNUUAANUCCCGCANCNAACGCA
Molecule: ribosomal RNA, 989 nt
Filed under: Klebsiella sp.
Lineage: Bacteria; Pseudomonadati; Pseudomonadota; Gammaproteobacteria; Enterobacterales; Enterobacteriaceae
Description: partial 16S ribosomal RNA
Rfam family: Bacterial small subunit ribosomal RNA
Source: RNAcentral